GACGAACGCUGGCGGCGUGCUUAACACAUGCAAGUCGAACGGAAAGGCCCUGCUUUUGUGGGGUGCUCGAGUGGCGAACGGGUGAGUAACACGUGAGUAACCUGCCCUUGACUUUGGGAUAACUUCAGGAAACUGGGGCUAAUACCGGAGAGGAUCUCCUGCUGCAUGGUGGGGGUUGGAAAGUGUCGGCGGUUGGGGAUGGACUCGCGGCUUAUCCGCUUGUUGGGGGGGUAGUGGCGUACCAGGGCUAUGACGGGUAGCCGGCAUGAGAGGGUUAACGGCGACAAUGGGCCUGAGAUACGGAGCAGACUCGUACGGGAGGCAGCAGUCGAGAAUAUUGCAGAACGGGCGGAAGCCUGAUGCGGCAACGCCGCGUGCGGGAUGCCGGGCUUCGGGUUGUAAACCGAUUUCGACUGUGACGAAGCGUGCUUGACGGUAAUGGGUAAGGAAGCACCGGCUAACUACGUG
This 468-nucleotide ribosomal RNA is filed under the name uncultured bacterium. Its description in RNAcentral is "partial 16S ribosomal RNA". It matches the Rfam family "Bacterial small subunit ribosomal RNA", at positions 28 to 507 of the family's 1533-position model. The record is from RNAcentral.